Molecule: long non-coding RNA, 397 nt
Organism: Oncorhynchus nerka (sockeye salmon)
Lineage: Eukaryota; Metazoa; Chordata; Actinopteri; Salmoniformes; Salmonidae
Exons: 3
Source: RefSeq, a predicted model, not a curated record
AAUCUAACACACUGCUCUGGAACACAGAGGGGGACGAUCUGAACAUCAUGAGUCUGUUGAAGUCGCAGACUCACCUGGCAGGCAGAGAGUGGAAUGUCCCUGGUUCCAUCAUGGCUGCUCCUCUCCGCUCCUGGUGUCGCUGUUUAAUGAUGUCAUCACUGUGUGGGACCGACGGGACAGGAGGCGUGUCCACGAUGUCCCUGUCGGGCCAGGCGUUGUCAGGGUGAUCGUGGCUCUGGGUGUAAAGGAAGUGCCUCCUGCUCAGCCAGUCUGUACCAGUCCAUCAGUGAGGUGUCGGGGCUCAACUUUGUGCAUCUCCCAAACUCAGCUGUGUGACACAUUGAGAGACUGCCCUGAUGGUUUUGAUGAGGAGUCCUGCAUUACUAAAUGUCCAAAC